Molecule: ribosomal RNA, 908 nt
Filed under: uncultured Bacillus sp.
Lineage: Bacteria; Bacillati; Bacillota; Bacilli; Caryophanales; Bacillaceae
Description: bacterial SSU rRNA
Rfam family: Bacterial small subunit ribosomal RNA
Source: RNAcentral
GCUGUCGAGCGAAUGGAUUAAGAACUUGCUCUUAUGGAGUUCGCGGCGGACGGGUGAGUAACACGUGGGUAACCUGCCCAUAAGACUGGGAUAACUCCGGGAAACCGGGGCUAAUACCGGAUAACAUUUUGAACCGCAUGGUUCGAAAUUGAAAGGCGGCUUCGGCUGUCACUUAUGGAUGGACCCGCGUCGCAUUAGCUAGUUGGUGAGGUAACGGCUCACCAAGGCAACGAUGCGUAGCCAACCUGAGAGGGUGAUCGGCCACACUGGGACUGAGACACGGCCCAGACUCCUACGGGAGGCAGCAUUAGGGAAUCUUCCGCAAUGGACGAAAGUCUGACGGAGCAACGCCGCGUGAGUGAUGAAGGCUUUCGGGUCGUAAAACUCUGUUGUUAGGGAAGAACAAGUGCUAGUUGAAUAAGCUGGCACCUUGACGGUACCUAACCAGAAAGCCACGGCUAACUACGUGCCAGCAGCCGCGGUAAUACGUAGGUGGCAAGCGUUAUCCGGAAUUAUUGGGCGUAAAGCGCGCGCAGGUGGUUUCUUAAGUCUGAUGUGAAAGCCCACGGCUCAACCGUGGAGGGUCAUUGGAAACUGGGAGACUUGAGUGCAGAAGAGGAAAGUGGAAUUCCAUGUGUAGCGGUGAAAUGCGUAGAGAUAUGGAGGAACACCAGUGGCGAACGCGACUUUCUGGUCUGUAACUGACACUGAGGCGCGAAAGCGUGGGGAGCAAACAGAUUAGAUACCCUGGUAGUCCACGCCGUAAACGAUGAGUGCUAAGUGUUAGAGGGUUUCCGCCCUUUACUGCUGAAGUUAACGCAUUAAGCACUCCGCCUGGGGAGUACGCCGCAAGCUGAAACUCAACGGAUUUGACGGGGGCCCGCACAGCGGUGAUCAUGUGUUUAAUU